This 98-nucleotide non-coding RNA is filed under the name unclassified sequences. Its description in RNAcentral is "pemK RNA". It matches the Rfam family "pemK RNA". The record is from RNAcentral.
AUAAUGAUACUUCCUUAUCGCCGCAGUCCGAGCGUUCAAAGCGUCGCAGGCAACGGGUAAGGCUCCGGCAGACCGCCGGAGGGGUGGAACUCCCAUGA